RNAcentral lists this ribosomal RNA (401 nucleotides) under bacterium enrichment culture clone ALO1_GLFRUDD03G5N66. RNAcentral describes it as "bacterial SSU rRNA". It matches the Rfam family "Bacterial small subunit ribosomal RNA", at positions 9 to 412 of the family's 1533-position model. The record is from RNAcentral.
GAGUUUGAUCCUGGCUCAGAUUGAACGCUGGCGGCAUGCCUUACACAUGCAAGUCGAACGGCAGCACGGGAGCUUGCUCCUGGUGGCGAGUGGCGAACGGGUGAGUAAUGCAUCGGAACGUAUCCUGGAGUGGGGGAUAGCGUAGCGAAAGUUACGCUAAUACCGCAUAUUCUGUGAGCAGGAAAGCGGGGGACCUUCGGGCCUCGCGCUCUUGGAGCGGCCGAUGUCGGAUUAGCUAGUUGGUGAGGUAAAGGCUCACCAAGGCGACGAUCCGUAGCAGGUUUGAGAGGAUGAUCUGCCACACUGGAACUGAGACACGGUCCAGACUCCUACGGGAGGCAGCAGUGGGAUUUGGACAAGUGGGGCAACCCUGAUCCAGCCAUCGCCGCGUGAGUGAAGAA